CUGAAAGUAUGACAGGAGUUUAAAACUCUUCCCACAUACUGCCGCAUACAGUACUCACCACAAGCAGUCCCCUAAACUGUCUGGAUGUAGUUACAGUUCAGUUCUGAGCCAGGAAUGGGGUAGGACAGUGCUGAGCCCGGGCAGGCUGCUGUGCUCUCAGCACGCUUUGCUGGAUGGAUGAGACCUGGCAUUCCCAAUUAGGGCACUUGCACAAAGCGCCAGCCAGGCCGUGGCAUUGACGUGCAGCCCAGCUCCGCAGCACAGGCUCCCGCUGGCAGCUCCAAGGUAAGGACUGCAUGCCCUGCCCUGAAUUUGGGUGCAAAAAACCACAACAGGAUUUAUACUUAUUUUCUGUACACACUCUCCUCCUCACAGGCAAGUGCACAUGGGGAUUUCUGUACAGCAGCAUAUGGAAAGAAUGUGGAAGGACGACUGGUUUCUCCCAGGCUUGUGAGGAGCUGCCAUCAGAAAGCAACAUUUCAAAAUGGAUGGAGUGAGUAGCAGCGUCUCAGCCACAGCAAGCAAUGUCCCAGCAAGGCAGGGAGAUGCCUGCCCACAGAGCCAGCAGCACAUCUUUUGCACCUGGCACUUCAGGCAAGCAGCAGCUGAAAGAGAACUCUGUAACAUGUCCAUAAUAGACUGCUGCUCUGCCUUCAGGAGCAAGUGGCCAUUUCAAUGGCUGCAGAUGUUUGUGCAAGAAUGGACAUUGCUCGGUACCAUUCUCUGGUAAUGCCGGAGUCCUUGUAGUCAACAGCUUGAGCUCUUUAAUUCAUGAUACAGUCUUUUUGCUAAAAGGUCGCAAGGAAACACUGAUAGCUUCUGCUUCAGAUGUUCUCUGCAGAUUGUGUAAGGGAUGUGCUGGUUUAGAAGGUCACAUUGGUGUCUUAUAUUUACUUACAGUAAAGGCCUUCAUUGUAUUUUUCUGAUUCUGUCUGCCUGAAUGGAUAUGCAUGUUAGCUGUGUAGCUUGCUGAAUUCUGAACGCAGAAAAAAAACCCCAAGUAUGUUAUAACUGGUUCUCAUUAAACUGCUAAACGGAAUACUAAAAGGUAGCUUAAAAUCAGGUGCAUUUAAUAAAGUUAUAUUUGAAUUGGCA
RNAcentral lists this long non-coding RNA (1095 nucleotides) under Cyanistes caeruleus (blue tit). Its description in RNAcentral is "lncRNA (ENSCCEG00000010145.1)". Lineage: Eukaryota; Metazoa; Chordata; Aves; Passeriformes; Paridae. The record is from RNAcentral.